Molecule: long non-coding RNA, 509 nt
Filed under: Equus caballus (horse)
Lineage: Eukaryota; Metazoa; Chordata; Mammalia; Perissodactyla; Equidae
Description: lncRNA (ENSECAG00000054471.1)
Source: RNAcentral
GAGGAGCGCAGCCCCUUGGCCUGAAGACGUCUCUGGUUCCAGUGAGUGGCUAUUUAGGGAGGAGGGAAACACUGCAGUGAGGUGGAGGAGCUGCAUUAUCUUUUCCUUCAUCUCUGAAGCCAGGCUGUGCCAGAGAUAACACUGGAUGGAACCUUCUCAGUUUAAAAAGAGUCAUAAAAGAGAGAUCAAAGAGCUUUUGUGGCCAUGGAUAGAUAUAAGAAGCAAGAGGAAUCCCCUCCCUGGGCUCCUGAUUUCUAAGGUCUUUCUCCUUAGGCUUUGCAAACUUACUACUUGAUUACACACUGCCUGCCUACUAACUGCCAGCACCUGCAUUUCUUUGCUGGAAGAUUUUACCUGACCUCUGGAGGCUGCCUGCCACCCAUGGGAGUUCUUCACUGAUAUGAAGCUCCAGGUGCAGACAGUGGCAGCUGGCUUGAUAAUGCACCCUUUAUUGGCUCACUUCCCCACCUGACUACUGGGGAUUCUUCCACCCUUAAAUAAACUACCUG